Molecule: transfer RNA, 53 nt
Filed under: Pardosa pusiola
Lineage: Eukaryota; Metazoa; Arthropoda; Arachnida; Araneae; Lycosidae
Description: tRNA-Leu
Source: RNAcentral
AUUAUAUUGGCAGAAUAAUGCAUUAGAAUUAGAAUCUAAUUACCUAUUCAUUA